AUACGGAGGAUCCAAGCGUUAUCCGGAUUUAUUGGGUUUAAAGGGUGCGUAGGUGGAUUGAUAAGUCAGCGGUGAAAGUUUGCAGCUUAACUGUAAAAUUGCCGUUGAAACUGUCAGUCUUGAGUGCAAAUGAGGUAGGCGGAAUGUGUUGUGUAGCGGUGAAAUGCUUAGAUAUAACACAGAACUCCGAUUGCGAAGGCAGCUUACUGGGAUGCAACUGACACUGAGGCACGAAAGCGUGGGGAUCAAACAGGAUUAGAUACCCUGGUAGUCCACGCAGUAAACGAUGAAUACUAGCUGUAUGCGAUAUACUGUAUGCGGCACAGCGAAAGCGUUAAGUAUUCCACCUGGGGAGUACGUUCGCAAGAAUGAA
RNAcentral lists this ribosomal RNA (373 nucleotides) under uncultured bacterium. RNAcentral's name for it is "bacterial SSU rRNA". It matches the Rfam family "Bacterial small subunit ribosomal RNA", at positions 523 to 898 of the family's 1533-position model. The record is from RNAcentral.